GCAGGGGUGUCCGAGCCAGAUGCGAGAUAAGCGGGCUAAGUCAAAGGAACGCGGCUGAGGCCCGCGUGGCGUAGGCCUGCGUGGGUUCAAAUCCCACCCCCUGCACCA
RNAcentral lists this transfer RNA (108 nucleotides) under Candidatus Jordarchaeia archaeon. RNAcentral describes it as "tRNA-Leu". It matches the Rfam family "tRNA". Rfam says of the family: Transfer RNA (tRNA) molecules are approximately 80 nucleotides in length. Lineage: Archaea; Promethearchaeati; Candidatus Jordarchaeia. The record is from RNAcentral.